Molecule: ribosomal RNA, 1396 nt
Filed under: Klebsiella sp. UIWRF0521
Lineage: Bacteria; Pseudomonadati; Pseudomonadota; Gammaproteobacteria; Enterobacterales; Enterobacteriaceae
Description: bacterial SSU rRNA
Rfam family: Bacterial small subunit ribosomal RNA
Source: RNAcentral
CGGCAGGCCUAACACAUGCAAGUCGAGCGGUAGCACAGAGAGCUUGCUCUCGGGUGACGAGCGGCGGACGGGUGAGUAAUGUCUGGGAAACUGCCUGAUGGAGGGGGAUAACUACUGGAAACGGUAGCUAAUACCGCAUAACGUCGCAAGACCAAAGUGGGGGACCUUCGGGCCUCAUGCCAUCAGAUGUGCCCAGAUGGGAUUAGCUAGUAGGUGGGGUAACGGCUCACCUAGGCGACGAUCCCUAGCUGGUCUGAGAGGAUGACCAGCCACACUGGAACUGAGACACGGUCCAGACUCCUACGGGAGGCAGCAGUGGGGAAUAUUGCACAAUGGGCGCAAGCCUGAUGCAGCCAUGCCGCGUGUGUGAAGAAGGCCUUCGGGUUGUAAAGCACUUUCAGCGGGGAGGAAGGCGGUGAGGUUAAUAACCUCAUCGAUUGACGUUACCCGCAGAAGAAGCACCGGCUAACUCCGUGCCAGCAGCCGCGGUAAUACGGAGGGUGCAAGCGUUAAUCGGAAUUACUGGGCGUAAAGCGCACGCAGGCGGUCUGUCAAGUCGGAUGUGAAAUCCCCGGGCUCAACCUGGGAACUGCAUUCGAAACUGGCAGGCUAGAGUCUUGUAGAGGGGGGUAGAAUUCCAGGUGUAGCGGUGAAAUGCGUAGAGAUCUGGAGGAAUACCGGUGGCGAAGGCGGCCCCCUGGACAAAGACUGACGCUCAGGUGCGAAAGCGUGGGGAGCAAACAGGAUUAGAUACCCUGGUAGUCCACGCCGUAAACGAUGUCGAUUUGGAGGUUGUGCCCUUGAGGCGUGGCUUCCGGAGCUAACGCGUUAAAUCGACCGCCUGGGGAGUACGGCCGCAAGGUUAAAACUCAAAUGAAUUGACGGGGGCCCGCACAAGCGGUGGAGCAUGUGGUUUAAUUCGAUGCAACGCGAAGAACCUUACCUGGUCUUGACAUCCACAGAACUUUCCAGAGAUGGAUUGGUGCCUUCGGGAACUGUGAGACAGGUGCUGCAUGGCUGUCGUCAGCUCGUGUUGUGAAAUGUUGGGUUAAGUCCCGCAACGAGCGCAACCCUUAUCCUUUGUUGCCAGCGGUUAGGCCGGGAACUCAAAGGAGACUGCCAGUGAUAAACUGGAGGAAGGUGGGGAUGACGUCAAGUCAUCAUGGCCCUUACGACCAGGGCUACACACGUGCUACAAUGGCAUAUACAAAGAGAAGCGACCUCGCGAGAGCAAGCGGACCUCAUAAAGUAUGUCGUAGUCCGGAUUGGAGUCUGCAACUCGACUCCAUGAAGUCGGAAUCGCUAGUAAUCGUAGAUCAGAAUGCUACGGUGAAUACGUUCCCGGGCCUUGUACACACCGCCAGUCACACCAUGGGAGUGGGUUGCAAAAGAAGUA